CCCCCCCCCCCGCCCCCUCCCCGAGCAUGGGGAGCCCCGAGCUGGCCCUCCCAUCGGCGCCGCUGCCUCUCCCCGUUCGAUAGGGUUGAGGUCGUCCGGCCAUCUCGGCUGCCCCACCCUCCCUCCGCCGGCAGGGCCCGGCUCCUCAGGCGGCAAGGUGCUCCGGCGUGAAGGUGCUCCGGCGUGCCCCUGCUGAUCUCCUGCUCGUGGAACAACUGCAUCAGCAGGAACACAUGCUGCAUCUGAAUAGGGAGAGAGGUGAGGGCGAACCGCGGCUCAGUACCUUCACGGGAUUAUGUCUUUCCCGCACGUCAAAGAAACCUGAAGGGGGGGUGGGUCAACCUAGGAUCUGGCUUGAGGAUUGAUGCAUAUAGUGGGAAGUUCAAGGAGCACAAUGGGCCCGAUUCUGAUCCGGCCUCACAGGACAUUGACGUUACGGUUUGAAUUUAACUUUUACCAGGGCUCAGGUGGUAAGCACAUUGACAGGAUCGACGAUCGACAACCUGGGCAGCGCUGUCGCUGUCGUGCGUGGGGAAA
Triticum aestivum (bread wheat) is the source of this 537-nucleotide long non-coding RNA. RefSeq lists it as uncharacterized. The record is from RefSeq and is a predicted model, not a curated record. The transcript is spliced from 3 exons. NCBI's taxonomy places the organism in Eukaryota, Viridiplantae, Streptophyta, Magnoliopsida, Poales, Poaceae.